Apodemus sylvaticus (European woodmouse) is the source of this 130-nucleotide small nucleolar RNA. RefSeq annotates it as small nucleolar RNA SNORA17. NCBI's taxonomy places the organism in Eukaryota, Metazoa, Chordata, Mammalia, Rodentia, Muridae. The record is from RefSeq and is a predicted model, not a curated record. The transcript has a single exon.
AUUGGCCCUAGAGGCAUUGCAAGUGUGUUGUUGUGUCACAUCACAACACUGGGUAGCAGAGAGGAGGGAGGCUGUGUCUAUGUUCAGUGUUCUGACCUAUGAACAGCUGAAUGAUUAGUAACCUAACAUU